This 407-nucleotide ribosomal RNA is filed under the name uncultured bacterium. RNAcentral's name for it is "partial 16S ribosomal RNA". It matches the Rfam family "Bacterial small subunit ribosomal RNA", at positions 30 to 526 of the family's 1533-position model. The record is from RNAcentral.
AUUGAACGCUGGCGGCAGGCCUAACCCAUGCAAGUCGCGCGGCGCGGCGGGCGGGGUCGUAAUGCCUAGGAAUCUGACUGUGAGUGGGGGAUAACGUCCGGAAACGGGCGCUAACACCCCCUCCCAGUAGAAGAGCCUUAGCCGGAGUAGGUAUUUGGUGGGGUAAAGGCCUAACAAGGCGACGUUCCGUACCUGGUCUGUGAGGAUGAUCAUGCACACUGGAACUGAGACACGGUCCAGACGCCUACGGGAGGCAGCAGUGGGGAAUAUUGGCCAAUGGGCGAAAGCCUGAUCCAGCCAUGCCGCGUGUGUGAAGAAGGUCUUCGGAUUGUAAAGCACUUUCAGUUGGGAGGCGUUACCAACAGAAUAAGCACCGGCUAACUUCGUGCCAGCAGCCGCGGUAAUUC